RNAcentral lists this ribosomal RNA (529 nucleotides) under uncultured Nitrososphaerota archaeon. Its description in RNAcentral is "bacterial SSU rRNA". It matches the Rfam family "Archaeal small subunit ribosomal RNA", at positions 452 to 981 of the family's 1478-position model. The record is from RNAcentral. Lineage: Archaea; Thermoproteati; Nitrososphaerota.
CUGGUGUCAGCCGCCGCGGUAAUACCAGCACCCCGAGUGGUCGGGACGAUUAUUGGGCCUAAAGCAUCCGUAGCCGGUCUUGCAAGUCUUCCGUUAAAUCCACCUGCUUAACAGAUGGGCUGCGGAAGAUACUACAAGACUAGGAGGCGGGAGAGGCAAGCGGUACUCAGUGGGUAGGGGUAAAAUCCUCUGAUCCAUUGAAGACCACCAGUGGCGAAGGCGGCUUGCCAGAACGCGCUCGACGGUGAGGGAUGAAAGCUGGGGGAGCAAACCGGAUUAGAUACCCGGGUAGUCCCAGCUGUAAACGAUGCAGACUCGGUGAUGGGCCGGCUUCAUGCCGGCUCAGUGCCGCAGGGAAGCCGUUAAGUCUGCCGCCUGGGGAGUACGGUCGCAAGACUGAAACUUAACGGAAUUGGCGGGGGAGCACCACAAGGGGUGAAGCCUGCGGUUCAAUUGGAGUCAACGCCGGAAAUCUUACCGGGGGCGACAGCAGAGUGAAGGUCAAGCUGAAGACUUUACCAGACAAGCU